GCGGAAAAUAAGCGGAGAAGGUAAAGGCAGAGUAAAAUGCAGCUCUUCCUCCUGCUCCUCUCCUCCAGGACUCCGAGCGUUGCAAUACCGCUGCAGGGAUUGAUAAGAGUUGUGGAAAAAAAAAAGCAACAAAGCUAAGAUAGCAAGGUAACACUGUGUUCACAACCUUACAGCUCUGUUGCAAGAAAAUGGAUCAUGAAGAAAGGAGAUAGAAAUGGCCCUUGGGGCCAUAUUUUCAUCUCAGCAACAUUAGUGUUAAUCCUAAGUUUCACAUAACAUGAGGUUGACCCACUCCCUUCAGCCUUCUAUUUUACAUACUUCCUGGAUGCCACAGAGUAUUUUGGGAAUGGAAACCUGUCAUGAUGGACUCAAAGAUUUAGUCCCAGAUUUACUGCAACAUGGUGUGCUGUUGAUUUCUCACAAAGAAGUCACCAGAAACAUAAUUUUGAGAAGCUUUUGCUCUGAAAGAAAUGACGUGAUUACAGCUCAGAAGCUAAGGAAGCUGCUAAAAACCAUAAGAGUGAAGUUUGAGAGGACUCCAGCAUACUAAGGAUGCAUCUCUAUGAUACAUUCACGCCACUCUGGAAUCUUCCUUCAUUUAUUUGGCAGGUUAGUUUGUUCUAGAACAUGUCUUAGGAAAAAAUGUCCUACUUCUGAUGGCUCUGCAGCUUGUUGUUUAUCUUGAUUGACAAUCUGUG
RNAcentral lists this long non-coding RNA (698 nucleotides) under Gallus gallus (chicken). RNAcentral's name for it is "long non-coding RNA NONGGAT009202". Lineage: Eukaryota; Metazoa; Chordata; Aves; Galliformes; Phasianidae. The record is from RNAcentral.